GCCUGCGUGGCUCAGUCGGUUGAGCGUCUGACUUUGGCUCAGGUCAUGAUCUCAUGGUUUGUGGGUUCGAGCCCCGUGUCGGGCU
This 85-nucleotide transfer RNA is filed under the name Felis catus (domestic cat). It matches the Rfam family "tRNA". From Rfam's summary of the family: Transfer RNA (tRNA) molecules are approximately 80 nucleotides in length. The record is from Rfam by way of RNAcentral. Lineage: Eukaryota; Metazoa; Chordata; Mammalia; Carnivora; Felidae.